This is a long non-coding RNA of Pseudophryne corroboree (corroboree frog), 1575 nucleotides long. RefSeq lists it as uncharacterized. NCBI's taxonomy places the organism in Eukaryota, Metazoa, Chordata, Amphibia, Anura, Myobatrachidae. The transcript has 6 exons. The record is from RefSeq and is a predicted model, not a curated record.
UAGUGUCCAGGUGAUAGGCCUGCUAUGGACAGUGGGAUCUGGAGGGCUGGGGCACUAGUGUCAGGAUGCCAGGACCUGAAGGGUUCCUUAUUAAGUAAUAGGGAGUGAGCCUGGAGUCGGUUGGUGGUGGAUUUUUGUAGCAGAGAACAUCCUAGCAAGUCUCCUGUUACAAUUGGUGCCUGAAGAGGGUCCCUUCUGCUAGUCAUGUCACAUGUGGAAGAGGACCCAACAGCCGCAAGGUAGCAGCACACAUACCAGCGAACUCCAGAUCAAGCUGAACUCAUGGGCAUCAGUACCAGACUAAGGGUGUUAUAACGUAAUGUUGGAAACAGCUGGAAGAAGAACCAGAGACAACUUGAUGGAUCCCACUUGUAGACUAGCGGCGGCACGUGUCCCCACAUCAAGGAAAACCAUCAACAUGAAUAAUAAUGACGAAUGUCGUUCAAAGUAUUAUCCUGCACUCUGGUCAAGGAGAAGAGCAGCAGAAAGCAGGGCAAUGUCACCUGGCUACCGUACUGUGGCUCCAGUAAGCAGAGCAGACCUUCAGGUGCAUCAUCAUGACCCAUUUCCAAGACCUUAGCCUGGAAAGCUGGAUUUGAUGAUAGUGAUCCAUAUUCAUACUCUCGCCUGUCCACAUAUCGCUUGGAGAAUGUAACAUGCAGGUGUCACUGUGGCCUCACUCACAGCCAUCCCCAUGCAUUCCCUCCACCUUCUUGAAACCUGCUGGUAGCUGGAAAACGAGAAAAAGAGAACUGAGAAUUGCUUUGAUGGAAUUGUGAUUUGUAGAAUUUCUCCUCUUAGUCCCUGCCUCCUACUUGCUCUCUAGCCACUCCAAAGUCUCUCUCUCCCAUAGAAAACCAUUUUCUAUUUAUCUCUGCCACCACUCAAUCAAUUCAUCAUCCCUGGAACACCACAAACACGAUUUUACAGCUACAUCCUGCAGAUGUCGAAGAAACGUAAAGCAACCGAUAGUGAGUCUGACUACCCCCGGGCUGCAUCCUCAACAAGGCUUGACAGAGCAGACCAAGGCGUUCUCCAGACCAUGUGAUCUCUUAUGUGAAUAAUGAAUAUCGACCGGAGUCACCAUCUGCACAGGAAUGAACAAUUUCUUCAGAGGUUCCGUGUUCCCAGAGAAAUCACAUAUAGAUGGUAAGGCUUAUGCAGCAGACUGAAGCAAAAGCAGUGCCGUUAUGCUAGGGGGACUCAUGGGGGGAGUAUCCCUCAGUCCUUGGAGUUUACCCCAGUGGAGGAGCAGGAAGUGAUGUUAAUGUGAGAGGAUCAUUCUGAGGAGUUUAUGGUACUUGCAACCCUAGUACCAUCAGUGGCACUUCCCUUCACCAGGAAUGCCAUAUAUUGGGAGAAUACAGCAUCACUAGUAUGACAGAAUGAUCUCUUGGAGAGGCAGACUGAGGCCAUCAUUGAUGACAUGAGGGACUCCUCUGCUCUUCUUGCUCAAGGACUGAGGAAGUUUGUGGACAGGAUCACCAGCCGCAUCAAUAACAGAUGCACAGCCCUCCACCUCCCAUCAGUGUCCAGCAACCUGUGGCCAGGCUGGUCUCAUCCCUGCAAAGAAAA